CCUACGUGUGGCUGCAGUGGGGAAUCUUGGACAAUGGGCGAAAGCCUGAUCCAGCCAUGCCGCGUGUGUGAAGAAGGCCUUCGGGUUGUAAAGCACUUUCAGUGGGGAAGAAAGCCUUGGGGCUAAUACCCUCGAGGAAGGACAUCACCCACAGAAGAAGCCCCGGCUAACUCCGUGCCAGCAGCCGCGGUAAUACGGAGGGUGCGAGCGUUAAUCGGAAUUACUGGGCGUAAAGCGCGCGUAGGCGGUCUGAUAAGCCGGUUGUGAAAGCCCCGGGCUCAACCUGGGAACGGCAUCCGGAACUGUCAAGGUAGAGUGCAGGAGAGGAAGGUAGAAUUCCCGGUGUAGCGGUGAAAUGCGUAGAGAUCGGGAGGAAUACCAGUGGCGAAGGCGGCCUUCUGGACUGACACUGACGCUGAGGUGCGAAAGCGUGGGUAGCAAACAGGAUUAGAUACCCCUGUAGUC
This 465-nucleotide ribosomal RNA is filed under the name Vreelandella stevensii. Its description in RNAcentral is "partial 16S ribosomal RNA". It matches the Rfam family "Bacterial small subunit ribosomal RNA", at positions 338 to 795 of the family's 1533-position model. Lineage: Bacteria; Pseudomonadati; Pseudomonadota; Gammaproteobacteria; Oceanospirillales; Halomonadaceae. The record is from RNAcentral.